RNAcentral lists this ribosomal RNA (459 nucleotides) under uncultured bacterium. RNAcentral's name for it is "partial 16S ribosomal RNA". It matches the Rfam family "Bacterial small subunit ribosomal RNA", at positions 338 to 795 of the family's 1533-position model. The record is from RNAcentral.
CCUACGGGGGACAGCAGUGAGGAAUAUUGGUCAAUGGGCGCGAGCCUGAACCAGCCAAGUCGCGUGAGGGAAGACGGUCCUAUGGAUUGUAAACCUCUUUUGUCGGGGAGCAAAAGACGCCACGCGUGGCGUUCCGAGAGUACCCGAAGAAAAAGCAUCGGCUAACUCCGUGCCAGCAGCCGCGGUAAUACGGAGGAUGCUAGCGUUAUCCGGAUUUAGUGGGUUUAAAGGGUGCGCAGGCGGAAGAUGAAGUCAGCGGUAAAAUUGAGAGGCUCAACCUCUUCGAGCCGUUGAAACUGGUUUUCUUGAGUGAGCGAGAAGUAUGCGGAAUGCGUGGUGUAGCGGUGAAAUGCAUAGAUAUCACGCAGAACUCCGAUUGCGAAGGCAGCAUACCGGCGCUCAACUGACGCUCAUGCACGAAAGUGUGGGUAUCGAACAGGAUUAGAUACCCCUGUAGUC